RNAcentral lists this ribosomal RNA (826 nucleotides) under Klebsiella pneumoniae subsp. pneumoniae. RNAcentral's name for it is "bacterial LSU rRNA". It matches the Rfam family "Bacterial large subunit ribosomal RNA", at positions 1121 to 1929 of the family's 2925-position model. The record is from RNAcentral. Lineage: Bacteria; Pseudomonadati; Pseudomonadota; Gammaproteobacteria; Enterobacterales; Enterobacteriaceae.
CAUUUAAAGAAAGCGUAAUAGCUCACUGGUCGAGUCGGCCUGCGCGGAAGAUGUAACGGGGCUAAACCAUGCACCGAAGCUGCGGCAGCGACACUAUGUGUUGUUGGGUAGGGGAGCGUUCUGUAAGCCUGCGAAGGUGUGCUGUGAGGCAUGCUGGAGGUAUCAGAAGUGCGAAUGCUGACAUAAGUAACGAUAAAGCGGGUGAAAAGCCCGCUCGCCGGAAGACCAAGGGUUCCUGUCCAACGUUAAUCGGGGCAGGGUGAGUCGACCCCUAAGGCGAGGCCGAAAGGCGUAGUCGAUGGGAAACAGGUUAAUAUUCCUGUACUUGGUGUUACUGCGAAGGGGGGACGGAGAAGGCUAUGUUAGCCGGGCGACGGUUGUCCCGGUUUAAGCAUGUAGGCUGGUUGUCCAGGCAAAUCCGGAUAAUCAAGGCUGAGGUGUGAUGACGAGGCACUACGGUGCUGAAGUAACAAAUGCCCUGCUUCCAGGAAAAGCCUCUAAGCAUCAGGUAACAUCAAAUCGUACCCCAAACCGACACAGGUGGUCAGGUAGAGAAUACCAAGGCGCUUGAGAKAACUCGGGUGAAGGAACUAGGCAAAAUGGUGCCGUAACUUCGGGAGAAGGCACGCUGGUGUGUAGGUGAAGCCCCUGCGGGUGGAGCUGAGACCAGUCGAAGAUACCAGCUGGCUGCAACUGUUUAUUAAAAACACAGCACUGUGCAAACACGAAAGUGGACGUAUACGGUGUGACGCCUGCCCGGUGCCGGAAGGUUAAUUGAUGGGGUUAUCCGUAAGGAGAAGCUCUUGAUCGAAGACCCCGGUAAACG